GCUUCGGUAGCUCAGUGGGUUAAGAGCAAUCGGACCGGUGUUCCGAAAGGUCGCAAGUUCGAAUCUUGCCCGAAGCA
This is a non-coding RNA of Cydia fagiglandana, 77 nucleotides long. Lineage: Eukaryota; Metazoa; Arthropoda; Insecta; Lepidoptera; Tortricidae. The record is from the annotation of a RefSeq genome assembly.